CGAAAGGUAUGCUAAUACGGGAUAAUAUAUUUGAGAGGCAUCUCUUGAAUAUCAAAGGUGAGCCAGUACAGGAUGGACCCGCGUCUGAUUAGCUAGUGGGUAAGGGAACGGCUUACCAAGGCGACGAGCAGUAGCCGACCGGAGAGGGUGAUCGGCCACAUUGGAACUGAGGCACGGUCCAAACUCCUACGGGAGGCAGGAGUGGGGAAUAGUGCACAAUGGGCGAAAGCCUGAUGCAGCAACGCCGCGGGAGGGAUGAAGGCCUUCGGGUCGUAAAACUCUGUCCUCAAGGAAGAUAAUGACGGUACUUGAGGAGGAAGCCCCGGCUAACUACGUGCCAGCAGCCGCGGUAAUACGUAGGGGGCUAGCGUUAUCCGGAUUUACUGGGCGUAAAGGGUGCGUAGGCGGUCUUUCAAGUCAGGAGUGAAAGGCU
This 433-nucleotide ribosomal RNA is filed under the name Clostridioides difficile. Its description in RNAcentral is "bacterial SSU rRNA". It matches the Rfam family "Bacterial small subunit ribosomal RNA", at positions 152 to 603 of the family's 1533-position model. The record is from RNAcentral. Lineage: Bacteria; Bacillati; Bacillota; Clostridia; Peptostreptococcales; Peptostreptococcaceae.